GACGAACGCUGGCGGCGUGCUUAACACACGCAAGUCGAACGGAAAGGCCCUGCUUUUGUGGGGUGCUCGAGUGGCGAACGGGUGAGUAACACGUGAGUAACCUGCCCUUGACUUUGGGAUAACUUCAGGAAACUGGGGCUAAUACCGGAUAGGAGCUCCUGCUGCAUGGUGGGGGUUGGAAAGUUUCGGCGGUUGGGGAUGGACUCGCGGCUUAUCAGCUUGUUGGUGGGGUAGUGGCUUACCAAGGCUUUGACGGGUAGCCGGCCUGAGAGGGUGACCGGCCACAUUGGGACUGAGAUACGGCCCAGACUCCUACGGGAGGCAGCAGUGGGGAAUAUUGCACAAUGGGCGGAAGCCUGAUGCAGCAACGCCGCGUGCGGGUUGACGGCCUUCGGGUUGUAAACCGCUUUCGCCUGUGACGAAGCGUGAGUGACGGUAAUGGGUAAAGAAGCACCGGCUAACUACGUG
RNAcentral lists this ribosomal RNA (468 nucleotides) under uncultured bacterium. Its description in RNAcentral is "partial 16S ribosomal RNA". It matches the Rfam family "Bacterial small subunit ribosomal RNA", at positions 28 to 507 of the family's 1533-position model. The record is from RNAcentral.